Merluccius polli (Benguela hake) is the source of this 69-nucleotide non-coding RNA. The record is from the annotation of a GenBank genome assembly. NCBI's taxonomy places the organism in Eukaryota, Metazoa, Chordata, Actinopteri, Gadiformes, Merlucciidae.
GAUAGUCUAUUAGUGGUUAGGAUGUUUGACUCAUAACCAAAAGGUUCUGGGUUCAAUCCCCAAUACUCA